ACUUUGCUUCCUUCCAGCCCCCAUCCCUUUCCUCCUGGGGGCUGAGGGCUGGCAGCCGGACACAGACAUCCGGGGCCGGCCAGGAUUCUGGGGUUCCCACCAGCCUAUCCAGGCCAGCAGAAGGAGAGGUGGCAGAGGACCAAAGCUAGGGAGUCUCCAGCCCGGAGCACCUCCGGGCUCCCUUGCUCUCAGGCAGGGUGGGAAGCUGGGCUGGGCAGCUUUGAGGGCUGUCCUCAAGGGGCUGUCCCUUGAAGGGACCCUUGGUAGCAUCCUAUCCCUCCCCUUCAGAAACUGGGGUGUUUUGAGGUUUGUUGAGUCCCCAGCUGGGGUUCCUCUGCCGGCCUGGGGCACCCUGAUGUAGGGGAGCAGAGUUGUGUGUGGAGGUAAAGAGGAAGGACCAGAGCCAAGUCAGACAGGUUGUCAAUGCCUCUGAGCCUUGGCCUUUCAAUGGGGAUGGAGAUGCCCUUCAAGGUCACAAAGUCCCCCACGUGGGACUUUGCAGUGGGUCCAGGCUGAGGGCAGGAGGGGCUCAAGGCGAAUCUGUCUGUCCCCACUCAGAAUGACUGGCCACCAAGGGACUGAAAGGAGGAAUGAGGGAAAGGCCUCACUAGUCCGACCAGAGUGACCCCGAGGCAAGGCAGAGCCCUCCGCUCCC
This 655-nucleotide long non-coding RNA is filed under the name Homo sapiens (human). Its description in RNAcentral is "non-protein coding lnc-MARCKSL1-2:1". The record is from RNAcentral. Lineage: Eukaryota; Metazoa; Chordata; Mammalia; Primates; Hominidae.